This 354-nucleotide ribosomal RNA is filed under the name uncultured Desulfovibrio sp. RNAcentral describes it as "bacterial SSU rRNA". It matches the Rfam family "Bacterial small subunit ribosomal RNA", at positions 1027 to 1382 of the family's 1533-position model. Lineage: Bacteria; Pseudomonadati; Thermodesulfobacteriota; Desulfovibrionia; Desulfovibrionales; Desulfovibrionaceae. The record is from RNAcentral.
UUCCGAGACAGGUGCUGCAUGGCUGUCGUCAGCUCGUGCCGUGAGGUGUGGGUUAAGUCCCGCAACGAGCGCAACCCUAUUGCCAGUUGCUACCAGGUAAUGCUGGGCACUCUGGUGAGACUGCCCCGGUUAACGGGGAGGAAGGUGGGGACGACGUCAAGUCAUCAUGGCCCUUACGCCUAAGGCUACACACGUACUACAAUGGCGCAUACAAAGGGCAGCGAUACCGCGAGGUGGAGCCAAUCCCAAAAAGUGCGUCCCAGUCCGGAUUGCAGUCUGCAACUCGACUGCAUGAAGUUGGAAUCGCUAGUAAUUCGAGAUCAGCAUGCUCGGGUGAAUGCGUUCCCGGGCCUU